CUGGCUGUGUCUCAAUUCAGGGUCUGCAUCCUACCUCGGCCGGAUUCGUCGGCCGGUUACGUCACAGCGCCGCGACUCGGCCUGUCCCGAUUCGAAGACUCCUUCAAAUGCGGUCGACGAAUGCGGCCUUCUUUUCGCCUGAAUGAAGGAUGGGUCGGGUGUAUCCUUCAAUAGGUAGCAUUUCCCAAGAUGCCUUGCGGGCCGGCCGGCCGAAAAACUUAAAAACAAUGGCGGACAGUGAAGCGGGAGCUGUCGGAGAGGAUUGCGCAUAUAAAUGUAAGUAUAAACUUGAAAACUGUCAGUUUAAGGACUUUUUGUGAUACAUGAACGUUAUUUUAGUUAGAAAUGUUACAGUAAAAGUGCUUGUAUUGCGGUCUCGGCUCGUAUGUUCGGCCGCGCUCGGUGUCGUACUUCUCCCACUACGUUUCCCCCUGAUUUUAAUAGAAGUUUGUAUUUUAGGACCAAAAGAGAAAACCAGGGAAUUUAUAAGCUUAGGGCGGAGAUGGACCACAUGAUCACCGGAGCAAAGUAUUCGGCGGCUGUGGCAUGGAGACUAUUCUGGAGAAAAUGGGCAUCCAGGGGAAGGUGCCAGCGAUGAGCUUCUGGAGCUGAUCUGGGAGGACAUGAGGCUGCAGAGCAGCAGAGAGCACAGGAGAGAAGGAAGAACUUUGACAGCUUUUUACUUUGCUAGAAAAAAAUGGUUAAUGAAGAUUAAACAUGUACAUGUAAAAGAAAUAUCUAAAUAAAAUCAGUUCUGCAUUAAA
Nothobranchius furzeri (turquoise killifish) is the source of this 764-nucleotide long non-coding RNA. RefSeq lists it as uncharacterized. Lineage: Eukaryota; Metazoa; Chordata; Actinopteri; Cyprinodontiformes; Nothobranchiidae. The record is from RefSeq and is a predicted model, not a curated record.